UACGUAGGUGGCAAGCGUUGUCCGGAUUUAUUGGGUUUAAAGGGUGCGUAGGCGGUUCCAUAAGUCAGUGGUGAAAUACAAUAGCUUAACUAUUGAGGUGCCACUGAUACUGCGGAACUUGAGUACAGACGAGGUAGGCGGAAUUGACGGUGUAGCGGUGAAAUGCUUAGAUAUCGUCAAGAACACCGAUAGCGAAGGCAGCUUACUAGACUGUAACUGACGCUGAGGCACGAAAGUGUGGGGAUCAAAC
Molecule: ribosomal RNA, 250 nt
Filed under: uncultured bacterium
Lineage: Bacteria
Description: partial 16S ribosomal RNA
Rfam family: Bacterial small subunit ribosomal RNA
Source: RNAcentral